GGGUAGAGCUCCGUUAAAUUCGACGCAUUGAGUGUGGAUUCAAAAACGCAAACAAAACGUCAAUAGACACAUUUUUUUUAAAUAUAUGUCCACUCUUCAUGACGUAAUUCCCAAACAAAAUGAAGAAAUCAAAAAAGGGCAAACGCAAGACUUCCAUGUUAAGUCAUAUAAAAUCAAUAAAAAAACUAAGUUGGACGUUAUCAAAUAAAUAGCUUGAAGGGCAUGAGUAGACCCUCGACUGCACCUUUUGGGAGAUUCAACGCAUUUGCAUUCCCCUUGGAAACUCUGGCUAAUAUUAAACAUUGACGAAGUUCCUUAACUUAUUAAAAACGGAAAAACGAAGGGACAGGUACCGCAUAUCUACAUGAAUGCCCAGGGAAUUAACUAUAGACGAUAUUAUAUUUCAACAGUCUAUUCUGGUUUUAUUAUUGACAUGCAUCAAAAGUAUACUCUCAUUCUCUGACGAUUCCAGGACAAACACUGAGGGACCAAAAAAAGUAAAAGAUUUAUUCUCUCGCGAAUACUUUAUUGAUCAAUAAAUACCGAUUAUUUACAAAUUCAGGAUUCAAACAAUUAAAAUAAAUUCAUGGAUUUUCCUGCUAUGCGAAAAUGAAAAAAAUCAAGUUCACACAUUUUAUUUUUCAUAAAAAGAAUACAGCCACAAACUUGAAAAACCCAAGUCAAGACAUUGCUAUGAAAAAUCGUUCAAUGGAAUAAUGAAUUGUAUGAAAAACUCGAAGUUGAUUGAUAUUUCGAUACGAUAUCGCCUCACAUAAUGACAUGUGCAUUUAACCUUAUCGUAUAAUUAUAAAAAAUCCGGUUGUAUGUAGAAGCAAUCGACGAAAAAAACGCAGAACUAUGUGAUUCCCCUGAUUUUUUAUUGAUCAACAAUUUCACCUAAUAGUGCAAUACAUAUUCAUUGAAAUUUCAUGCCAAAAUAAUUCCUCGAUUGAACUCUCGUUUUAAUUAGAAUUCCAGGUCUACUCCAAGGCCGAACUGUGGUACGAAUCUGCCACCAGGUCCCUUUUGAA
Diachasmimorpha longicaudata is the source of this 1031-nucleotide long non-coding RNA. RefSeq lists it as uncharacterized. The record is from RefSeq and is a predicted model, not a curated record. The transcript has 2 exons. NCBI's taxonomy places the organism in Eukaryota, Metazoa, Arthropoda, Insecta, Hymenoptera, Braconidae.